GAAUCAGGUAACAACUGAAGGUCAGUGCUGACUCAGAUUGAACGCUGGCGGGAUGCUUUUACACGUACCUGCAGAAUCAGACGGCAGCCUGGACUUCGGUCUGGUGGCAGUGGCGAACGGGUGAGUAGAAGUAGUAUCCGGAACGCGUGCCUAGUAGCGGGGAUAACUACGCGAAAGCGUAGCUAAUACCGCAUACGCCAUCGGGGAAAGCGGGGGGACCUUCGGGCCUCGCACUAUUAAACGGCCGAUAUCGGAUUAGCUGGAUUGGUGGGAAUGGCGCGGCGCCGCAGGCGACGAUCCGUAGCUGGUUCAGGAGGACGACCAGCCACACUGGGAUGAGACGCACGGCCCAGACUCCUACGGGAGAGGCGCCAGUAAAUUUUGGACAAUGGGGGAAACCUGAUCCAGCCAUCCCGCGUGCGCGAUGAAGGCCUUCGGGUUGUAAAGCACUUUUGGCGGGAAAAAAACGGCACCGGAUAAUACCGUGCAGCUGACCCGACGCACCUGCAGAAUAAGCACCGGCUAACUACGUGCCGCAGCAGCCGCGGUAAUACGUAGGGUGCAAGCGUUAAUCAGACCACUGGGCGUAAAGCGUGCCAGGCGGUUCGGAAGAAAGAUGUGAAAUCCCAGAGCUUAACUUUGGAACUGCAUUUUUAACUACCGAGCUAGAGUGUGUCAGAGGGAGGUGGAAUUCGCGUGUAGCAGUGAAAUGCGUAGAUAUGCGGAGGAACACCGAUAGCGAAAAGAGCAGCCUCCUGGGAUAACGCGGCGCUCAUGCACGAAAAAGCGUGGGGAGCAAACAGGAUUAGAUACCCUGGUAGUCCACGCCCUAAACGAUAUCAACUAGCUGUUGGGGCCUUCGGGCCUUGGUAGCGCAGCUAACGCGUGAGUUGACCGCCUGGGGAGUACGGUCGCAAGAUUAAAACUCAAAGGAAUUGACGGGGACCGCACAAGCGGUGGAUGAUGUGGAUUAAUUCGAUGCAACGCGAAAAACUCUUACCUACCGCCCGACAUGUCUGGAAUCCCGAAAGAGAUUUGGGAGUGCUCGCAAGAGAACCGGAAGUUUCUGGGUGCUGCAUGGCUGUCGUCAGCUCGUGUCGUGGGAUGUUGGGUUAAGUCCCGCAACAGGCUAACCGCCAUGAUAGUUGCUACGAAGGGCACUCUAAUGAGACUGCCGGUGACAAACCGGAGGAAGGUGGGGAUGACGUCAAGUCCUCAUGGCCCUUAUGGGUAGGGCUUCACACGUCAUACAAUGGUCGGGACAGAGGUCGCCAAUACGCGAGAGACCAAUCCCAGAAACCCGAUCGUAGUCGGAUCGCAGUCUGCAACUCGACUGCGUGAAGUCAAGAAUCGCUAGUAAUCGCGGAUCGGCAUGUCGCGGUGAAUACGUUCCCGGGUCUUGUACCUGCCGCCCGUCACACCGUAGGAGUGGGUUUUACCAGAAGUAGUUAGCCUAACCAUGCGCGGGAGGGCGAUUACCACGGUAAGGAUUCAUGACUGGGGUGAAGUCGUAACAAGGUA
RNAcentral lists this ribosomal RNA (1521 nucleotides) under uncultured Bordetella sp. RNAcentral describes it as "partial 16S-23S ribosomal RNA intergenic spacer". It matches the Rfam family "Bacterial small subunit ribosomal RNA". The record is from RNAcentral. Lineage: Bacteria; Pseudomonadati; Pseudomonadota; Betaproteobacteria; Burkholderiales; Alcaligenaceae.